Molecule: ribosomal RNA, 301 nt
Filed under: uncultured bacterium
Lineage: Bacteria
Description: partial 16S ribosomal RNA
Rfam family: Bacterial small subunit ribosomal RNA
Source: RNAcentral
CAGUCGCCACGGGAAAACGAAGGGGGCUAGCGUUGUUCGGAUUUACUGGGCGUAAAGCGCACGUAGGCGGAUCGAUCAGUCAGGGGUGAAAUCCCAGAGCUCAACUCUGGAACUGCCUUUGAUACUGUCGAUCUGGAGUAUGGAAGAGGUGAGUGGAAUUCCGAGUGUAGAGGUGAAAUUCGUAGAGAUCGGGAGGAACAUCAGUGGCGAAGGCGGCCAUCUGGGGCAACACUGACGCUCAUGCACGAAAGCGUGGGGAGCAAACAGGAUUAGAUACCCGCGUAGUCCCUGUCUCUUAUAC